UUUUUAUAACAUCGGACAAUCUUUUAAGUAUAUGUGGAUUCAGAUUAUAUUUUUAAAAGUCUAGUCAAAAUACUUUUAUUUCUCUCUCUCCUUUCUUUCUCGCGUCCCUCUCAUCUCCUUAAACUCUUUUAUUUUCAUCAUCCCCCUUGCUCUCUCUCCUCCUCCUUCACAGCCUUUCUCUCUUUUUUCUAUUCCUUCUCCUCCUCCUUCUUUACC
RNAcentral lists this long non-coding RNA (216 nucleotides) under Ananas comosus (pineapple). RNAcentral's name for it is "long non-coding RNA (ACOM_LNC028496)". Lineage: Eukaryota; Viridiplantae; Streptophyta; Magnoliopsida; Poales; Bromeliaceae. The record is from RNAcentral.